RNAcentral lists this transfer RNA (73 nucleotides) under Pseudonocardiaceae bacterium. Its description in RNAcentral is "tRNA-Arg". It matches the Rfam family "tRNA". From Rfam's summary of the family: Transfer RNA (tRNA) molecules are approximately 80 nucleotides in length. Their secondary structure includes four short double-helical elements and three loops (D, anti-codon, and T loops). Lineage: Bacteria; Bacillati; Actinomycetota; Actinomycetes; Pseudonocardiales; Pseudonocardiaceae. RNAcentral also lists the same sequence under 3 other names. The record is from RNAcentral.
GCCCACGUAGCUCAGGGGAUAGAGCGUCUGCCUCCGGAGCAGAAGGCCGCAGGUUCGAAUCCUGCCGUGGGCA